AUGAAUUGUGGUGUCUUACCAUGCAAGAAGGUUCCUAGUGAUGUCAGGCUGGAGAUGAUAGCUUUGCUCCUAAAGAGUGUUGAGUUGAAGGAAAAAAAGAUCGAGGGAUUGGAGGCGCUCAGAUCUAGUGUUGACUUAGAUCACUCCGAUGGAGAACAAGAAACUGAUGAAGAAGAUGGCAAUCAGGUUGUGAUUUGGAAGUCAAAACCAGGCACAAGCAGCUCAAUGGGUGGCCCUAUGGACAAAUUCUGCAAGCCUAGUAUAGAAGAAACUGUCAAGAGGAAGCAAAAAAGAAAUUGUGAAUCCGAAAAGGUUCAGUCGAAGGUGUCAACUCAGCAAAGACAACAGAGGAGCGAUAGAGCUUGUGGAUAUAUAUGUCAAUUUUUCUAUGAAGCUAGCAUCCCACAUAACACUGUCACACUUCCUAGCUUUUCAUGUAUGCUUCAGGCCAUUGGAGAUGUUGGCACAAACUCCGAUGGGCCUACUGCAUAUGAGAUGAGUGGACCAUUCUUGCAGAAAAGGAAGAAGAAGGUGUUAGAUUCAUUCAAACCACAUAAGCAAGCAUGGGAGCACACAGGUUGUACCGUAAUGACAGAUGCAUGGACAGAUAAAAAGGGCAGGGGAGUAAUGAACCUAGUUGUGCAUAGUUCUCAAGGAGUCAUAUUCUUGAAUUCAGUUGAUUGUUCAUCUGUCCAGAAAAAUGGCAAAUACAUCUUUGACCUCGUUGAUAAUUGCAUUGAAGAUAUAGGGGCAGACAAAGUCGUUCAAGUGGUGACCGACAAUGCUAGUGUCAAUGUAGCAGCAGCAAGUCUAAUGAAAGCAAAGCGACCUUCCAUUUUUUGGAAUGGAUGUGCAACCCAUUGUAUUGAUCUCAUGUUGGAGGACAUAGGGAAGCUUGGAUCGGUUGACAAAAUAAUUGCCCAAGCAAGACAAGUAACGGUGUUCUUGUAUGCUCACACAAGGGUGUUAGCUCUGAUGAGGAAAACACUUGGGAAAGACUUGGUACGGUCAGGUGUUACUAGGUUUGCCACGGCUUAUCUCAAUCGUAAAAGCUUGCAAGACAACAAGAAGGAAAUGCUUAAACUAUUCAGAUCAGAUGAGCUACAUGAAAUGGGUUACUUAGAGAAGGACAAGGGGAAGAUGGCUCACAAAACGGUGCAAUCGGAAGCCUGUUGGAAAGGUGUUGGUGUUGCUGUCAACUACUUUGAGCCAAUGGCUAAUGUGCUAAGAAGAAUGGAUAGUGAUGUGCCCGCAAUGGGAUUCUUAUAUGGUUGUAUGUUGGAUGCAAAAAAGGAAAUUGCUGCGAGUUUGUAUAAUGAUUAG
RNAcentral lists this ribosomal RNA (1323 nucleotides) under Triticum aestivum (bread wheat). Its description in RNAcentral is "partial small subunit ribosomal RNA". The record is from RNAcentral. Lineage: Eukaryota; Viridiplantae; Streptophyta; Magnoliopsida; Poales; Poaceae.